RNAcentral lists this long non-coding RNA (684 nucleotides) under Salvia miltiorrhiza (redroot sage). Its description in RNAcentral is "long non-coding RNA (SMIL_LNC000033)". The record is from RNAcentral. Lineage: Eukaryota; Viridiplantae; Streptophyta; Magnoliopsida; Lamiales; Lamiaceae.
GUCUGGCCGGGGGUGAUCGCGAUGUGAUCGGUGUUCAGCGGCUUCGUGUAGGCGCCGUCCACGCCCACCACCGUCACAUUGUGGUCCUUGAUUUUCAAGUACAUAAUGAAGUUCAUCAUUGCGUUAACCAUUCUGAUCAGGUAAGUCUUGCCCGCCUCCACACUCAACUUCAAUGUAUCUGCAUUAAUUGCAUCAAACCAAAUUAAUUAGUAAAACUUUUACCCCCUCUGUCCCGGUCAAGACGAUAUAUUUGUUUUUCGGCACGGAAUUUAAGAAGUUGUAGAUUAAUGUUUUAAGUAUGUAAUAAUAAAGUGAUAAAGUAGGAGGGAGAAUGUAAUAAAGUGAUAAAGUAAGAAAGAGAAGAUAAUAAGGGAAUACUUAAUUAGUGUUAAUUAAGUGUUUAAAAUUCCUUAUUUUUGCCAAAUAUAGAAAUGUAUCAUCUUCGUUGGGACGGCCCGAAAAGGAAUAGUAGCAUCUUGGACGGGAAGAGGGAGUAUUUGACUCCUAUUUGUUUGGAUUUUACCUUGUUUUGAGCAGGGAUACAGGUCGCCAGGUUGACCAUUCAUGAGGAAAGCAUCAGGCAAUUUGGCACCGGCUCCUUGGGCUAGAAAAUCCUCGUAAACUUGUUGCACAUCAUCAUUCCACCACUCUCCUGCAUGCAACAUUAAUUAAUAGAAUUCCAAC